RNAcentral lists this ribosomal RNA (270 nucleotides) under uncultured archaeon. RNAcentral's name for it is "partial 16S ribosomal RNA". It matches the Rfam family "Archaeal small subunit ribosomal RNA", at positions 477 to 747 of the family's 1478-position model. The record is from RNAcentral.
CAGCACCUCAAGUGGUCAGGAUGAUUAUUGGGCCUAAAGCAUCCGUAGCCGGCGCUGUAAGUUUUCGGUUAAAUCUGUACGCUCAACGUACAGGCUGCCGGGAAUACUGCAGCGCUAGAGAGUGGGAGAGGUAGACGGUACUCGGUAGGAAGGGGUAAAAUCCUUUGAUCUAUUGAUGACCACCUGUGGCGAAGGCGGUCUACCAGAACACGUCCGACGGUGAGGGAUGAAAGCUGGGGGAGCAAACCGGAUUAGAUACCCGAGUAGUCC